GAGUUUGAUCUUGGCUCAGAUUGAACGCUGGCGGCAUGCCUUACACAUGCAAGUCGAACGGCAGCACGGGAGCUUGCUCCUGGUGGCGAGUGGCGAACGGGUGAGUAAUGCAUCGGAACGUAUCCUGGAGUGGGGGAUAACGUAGCGAAAGUUACGCUAAUACCGCAUAUUCUGUGAGCAGGAAAGCGGGGGACCUUCGGGCCUCGCGCUCUUGGAGCGGCCGAUGUCGGAUUAGCUAGUUGGUGAGGUAAAGGCUCACCGAGGCGACGAUCCGUAGCAGGUCUGAGAGGAUGAUCUGCCACACUGGAACUGAGACACGGUCCAGACUCCUACGGGAGGCAGCAGUGGGAAUUUUGGACAAUGGGGGCAACCCUGAUCAGCCAUGCCGCGUGAGUGAAGAAGGCCUCGGUUGUAAGUACUCGUUCGUCGAGGGAAGAAAG
Molecule: ribosomal RNA, 440 nt
Filed under: bacterium enrichment culture clone ALO1_GLFRUDD03G8OLJ
Lineage: Bacteria
Description: bacterial SSU rRNA
Rfam family: Bacterial small subunit ribosomal RNA
Source: RNAcentral